AGUGAACGCUGGCGGUAGGCCUAACACAUGCAAGUCGAACGGCAGCACAGUAAGAGCUUGCUCUUACGGGUGGCGAGUGGCGGACGUGUGAGGAAUACAUCGUAAUCUACUUUUUCGUGGGGGAUAACGUAGGGAAACUUACGCUAAUACCGCAUACGACCUACGGGUGAAAGCAUGGGAUCUUCGGACCUUGCGCGAUUGAAUGAGCCGAUGUCGGAUUAGCUAGUUGGCGGGGUAAAGGCCCACCAAGGCGACGAUCCGUAGCUGGUCUGAGAGGAUGAUCAGCCACACUGGAACUGAGACACGGUCCAGACUCCUACGGGAGGCAGCAGUGGGGAAUAUUGGACAAUGGGCGCAAGCCUGAUCCAGCCAUACCGCGUGGGUGAAGAAGGCCUUCGGGUUGUAAAGCCCUUUUGUUGGGAAAGAAAAGCAGCAGGUUAAUACCCCGCUGUUCUGACGGUACCCAAAGAAUAAGCACCGGCUAACUUCGUG
RNAcentral lists this ribosomal RNA (492 nucleotides) under uncultured bacterium. RNAcentral's name for it is "partial 16S ribosomal RNA". It matches the Rfam family "Bacterial small subunit ribosomal RNA", at positions 29 to 507 of the family's 1533-position model. The record is from RNAcentral.